This 58-nucleotide transfer RNA is filed under the name Limnephilus decipiens. RNAcentral's name for it is "tRNA-Ser". The record is from RNAcentral. Lineage: Eukaryota; Metazoa; Arthropoda; Insecta; Trichoptera; Limnephilidae.
GAAUUUUUCAGCAAUUAAGCCGCUAACUUAACUCAUAGUGAUUAUCAUUAAAAAUUCU